This 253-nucleotide ribosomal RNA is filed under the name uncultured bacterium. Its description in RNAcentral is "partial 16S ribosomal RNA". It matches the Rfam family "Bacterial small subunit ribosomal RNA", at positions 524 to 776 of the family's 1533-position model. The record is from RNAcentral.
UACGUAGGGGGCUAGCGUUGUCCGGAAUCAUUGGGCGCAAAGAGCGUGUAGGCGGUCCGGUAAGUCCGUUGUGAAAGUCAGGGGCUCAACCCUUGAAUGCCGGCGGAUACUGUCGGGCUAGAGUCCGGAAGAGGCGAGUGGAAUUCCCGGUGUAGCGGUGAAAUGCGCAGAUAUCGGGAGGAACACCUAUGGCGAAGGCAGCUCGCUGGGACGGUACUGACGCUGAGACGCGAAAGCGUGGGGAGCAAACAGG